This 1530-nucleotide ribosomal RNA is filed under the name Escherichia coli. Its description in RNAcentral is "partial 23S ribosomal RNA". It matches the Rfam family "Bacterial large subunit ribosomal RNA", at positions 1 to 1569 of the family's 2925-position model. Lineage: Bacteria; Pseudomonadati; Pseudomonadota; Gammaproteobacteria; Enterobacterales; Enterobacteriaceae. The record is from RNAcentral.
UUGUGAGGUUAAGCGACUAAGCGUACACGGUGGAUGCCCUGGCAGUCAGAGGCGAUGAAGGACGUGCUAAUCUGCGAUAAGCGUCGGUGAGGUGAUAUGAACCGUUAUAACCGGCGAUUUCCGAAUGGGGAAACCCAGUGUGUUUCGACACACUAUCAUUAACUGAAUCCAUAGGUUAAUGAGGCGAACCGGGGGAACUGAAACAUCUAAGUACCCCGAGGAAAAGAAAUCAACCGAGAUUCCCCCAGUAGCGGCGAGCGAACGGGGAGGAGCCCAGAGCCUGAAUCAGUGUGUGUGUUAGUGGAAGCGUCUGGAAAGGCGCGCGAUACAGGGUGACAGCCCCGUACACAAAAAUGCACAUAUUGUGAGCUCGAUGAGUAGGGCGGGACACGUGGUAUCCUGUCUGAAUAUGGGGGGACCAUCCUCCAAGGCUAAAUACUCCUGACUGACCGAUAGUGAACCAGUACCGUGAGGGAAAGGCGAAAAGAACCCCGGCGAGGGGAGUGAAAAAGAACCUGAAACCGUGUACGUACAAGCAGUGGGAGCCUCUUAAUGGGGUGACUGCGUACCUUUUGUAUAAUGGGUCAGCGACUUAUAUUCUGUAGCAAGGUUAACCGAAUAGGGGAGCCGAAGGGAAACCGAGUCUUAACUGGGCGUUAAGUUGCAGGGUAUAGACCCGAAACCCGGUGAUCUAGCCAUGGGCAGGUUGAAGGUUGGGUAACACUAACUGGAGGACCGAACCGACUAAUGUUGAAAAAUUAGCGGAUGACUUGUGGCUGGGGGUGAAAGGCCAAUCAAACCGGGAGAUAGCUGGUUCUCCCCGAAAGCUAUUUAGGUAGCGCCUCGUGAAUUCAUCUCCGGGGGUAGAGCACUGUUUCGGCAAGGGGGUCAUCCCGACUUACCAACCCGAUGCAAACUGCGAAUACCGGAGAAUGUUAUCACGGGAGACACACGGCGGGUGCUAACGUCCGUCGUGAAGAGGGAAACAACCCAGACCGCCAGCUAAGGUCCCAAAGUCAUGGUUAAGUGGGAAACGAUGUGGGAAGGCCCAGACAGCCAGGAUGUUGGCUUAGAAGCAGCCAUCAUUUAAAGAAAGCGUAAUAGCUCACUGGUCGAGUCGGCCUGCGCGGAAGAUGUAACGGGGCUAAACCAUGCACCGAAGCUGCGGCAGCGACGCUUAUGCGUUGUUGGGUAGGGGAGCGUUCUGUAAGCCUGCGAAGGUGUGCUGUGAGGCAUGCUGGAGGUAUCAGAAGUGCGAAUGCUGACAUAAGUAACGAUAAAGCGGGUGAAAAGCCCGCUCGCCGGAAGACCAAGGGUUCCUGUCCAACGUUAAUCGGGGCAGGGUGAGUCGACCCCUAAGGCGAGGCCGAAAGGCGUAGUCGAUGGGAAACAGGUUAAUAUUCCUGUACUUGGUGUUACUGCGAAGGGGGGACGGAGAAGGCUAUGUUGGCCGGGCGACGGUUGUCCCGGUUUAAGCGUGUAGGCUGGUUUUCCAGGCAAAUCCGGAAAAUCAAGGCUGAGGCGUGAUGA